Molecule: ribosomal RNA, 927 nt
Filed under: Stereum sp.
Lineage: Eukaryota; Fungi; Basidiomycota; Agaricomycetes; Russulales; Stereaceae
Description: partial large subunit ribosomal RNA
Rfam family: Eukaryotic large subunit ribosomal RNA
Source: RNAcentral
AUAAGCGGAGGAAAAGAAACUAACAAGGAUUCCCCUAGUAACUGCGAGUGAAGCGGGAAAAGCUCAAAUUUAAAAUCUGGCGGUCUUCUGGCCGUCCGAGUUGUAGUCUGGAGAAGCGUUUUCCGCGUUGGACCGUGUACAAGUUUCCUGGAACGGAGCGUCAUAGAGGGUGAGAAUCCCGUCUUUGACACGGAUCCCAAUGCUUUGUGAUGCGCUCUCAAAGAGUCGAGUUGUUUGGGAAUGCAGCUCAAAAUGGGUGGUGAAUUCCAUCUAAAGCUAAAUAUUGGCGAGAGACCGAUAGCGAACAAGUACCGUGAGGGAAAGAUGAAAAGCACUUUGGAAAGAGAGUUAAACAGUACGUGAAAUUGUUGAAAGGGAAACGCUUGAAGUCAGUCGCGUCGGCCGGGACUCAGCCUUGCAUCCGCUUGGUGUACUUUCCGGUCGACGGGCCAGCAUCAGUUUUGACCGCGAGAUAAAGGCGGAGGGAAUGUGGCUCUCUCGGGAGUGUUAUAGCCCUUCGUCAGAUGUCGCGGUUGGGACUGAGGAACUCAGCACGCCUUUAUGGCCGGGGCUCGCCCACGUACGUGCUUAGGAUGCUGGCGUAAUGGCUUUAAACGACCCGUCUUGAAACACGGACCAAGGAGUCUAACAUGCCUGCGAGUGUUCGGGUGGAAAACCCGUGCGCGCAAUGAAAGUGAAAGUUGGGAUCCCUGUCGUGGGGUGCACCGACGCCCGGCCCAGACCUUUUGUGACGGAGCUGCGGUAGAGCAUGUAUGUUGGGACCCGAAAGAUGGUGAACUAUGCCUGAAUAGGGUGAAGCCAGAGGAAACUCUGGUGGAGGCUCGUAGCGAUUCUGACGUGCAAAUCGAUCGUCAAAUUUGGGUAUAGGGGCGAAAGACUAAUCGAACCAUCUAGUAGCUGGUCCUG